AUGCUCUGGGUUCCCUUCAUCCCGCAUAAAUCUUUCGCCUUUUACUAAAGAUUUCCGUGGAGAGGACCGUUAAAGAGUCUCAAAGAAUUUUUGUAUAGCCUGUUUCAUACAGGCGG
Molecule: small nuclear RNA, 116 nt
Organism: Erpetoichthys calabaricus (reedfish)
Lineage: Eukaryota; Metazoa; Chordata; Cladistia; Polypteriformes; Polypteridae
Gene: U5
Rfam family: U5 spliceosomal RNA
About the family: U5 RNA is a component of both types of known spliceosome.
Source: Ensembl